Molecule: ribosomal RNA, 253 nt
Filed under: uncultured prokaryote
Description: partial 16S ribosomal RNA
Rfam family: Bacterial small subunit ribosomal RNA
Source: RNAcentral
ACGAAGGGUGCAAGCGUUGCUCGGAAUCAUUGGGCGUAAAGCGCACGUAGGCGGCUUCGCAAGUCGGAUGUGAAAUCCCUCGGCUCAACCGAGGACGUGCAUCCGAAACUGCGGAGCUUGAGUAUGGAAGAGGGUCGCGGAAUUCCCGGUGUAGAGGUGAAAUUCGUAGAUAUCGGGAGGAACACCAGUGGCGAAGGCGGCGACCUGGGCCAAUACUGACGCUGAGGUGCGAAAGCGUGGGGAGCAAACGGGA